Molecule: ribosomal RNA, 497 nt
Filed under: uncultured bacterium
Lineage: Bacteria
Description: partial 16S ribosomal RNA
Rfam family: Bacterial small subunit ribosomal RNA
Source: RNAcentral
GAUGAACGCUGGCGGCGUGCCUAAUACAUGCAAGUCGAGCGAACGGACGAGAAGCUUGCUUCUCUGAUGUUAGCGGCGGACGGGUGAGUAACACGUGGAUAACCUACCUAUAAGACUGGGAUAACUUCGGGAAACCGGAGCUAAUACCGGAUAAUAUUUUGAACCGCAUGGUUCAAAAGUGAAAGACGGUCUUGCUGUCACUUAUAGAUGGAUCCGCGCUGCAUUAGCUAGUUGGUAAGGUAACGGCUUACCAAGGCAACGAUGCACAGCCGACCUGAGAGGGUGAUCGGCCACACUGGAACUGAGACACGGUCCAGACUCCUACGGGAGGCAGCAGUAGGGAAUCUUCCGCAAUGGGCGAAAGCCUGACGGAGCAACGCCGCGUGAGUGAUGAAGGUCUUUGGAUCGUAAAACUCUGUUAUUAGGGAAGAACAUAUGUGUAAGUAACUGUGCACAUCUUGACGGUACCUAAUCAGAAAGCCACGGCUAACUACGUG